AACGAACGCUGGCGGCGUGGAUAAGACAUGCAAGUCGAACGAGAUCUCCGAAUAGCUUGCUAAUUGGAGUGACAGUGGCGGACGGGUGCGUAACACGUGAGCAACCUGCCCUGAAGUGGGGGAUAGCUCUCCGAAAGGAGGAUUAAUACCGCAUGUGGUCUUCGGAUCAAAGGUGGCUUCGGCUGCCGCUUCAGGAUGGGCUCGCGGCCUAUCAGCUUGUUGGUGAGGUAACGGCUCACCAAGGCGACGACGGGUAGCUGGUCUGAGAGGACGAUCAGCCACACUGGAACUGAGACACGGUCCAGACACCUACGGGUGGCAGCAGUCGAGAAUCAUUCACAAUGGGGGAAACCCUGAUGGUGCAACGCCGCGUGGAGGAUGACGGCCCUCGGGUUGUAAACUCCUGUCAUCUGGGAGUAAGCCUUAUUCGUUAAUAGCGUGUAAGGUUGAUAGUACCAGAAGAGGAAGGGACGGCUAACUUCGUGCCAGCCGCCGCCGUAAAAC
RNAcentral lists this ribosomal RNA (504 nucleotides) under uncultured bacterium. RNAcentral's name for it is "bacterial SSU rRNA". It matches the Rfam family "Bacterial small subunit ribosomal RNA", at positions 29 to 526 of the family's 1533-position model. The record is from RNAcentral.